This 265-nucleotide ribosomal RNA is filed under the name uncultured prokaryote. RNAcentral describes it as "partial 16S ribosomal RNA". It matches the Rfam family "Bacterial small subunit ribosomal RNA", at positions 524 to 788 of the family's 1533-position model. The record is from RNAcentral.
UACGGAGGAUCCGAGCGUUAUCCGGAAUUAUUGGGUUUAAAGGGUGCGUAGGCGGCCAUUUAAGUCAGCGGUGAAAUUUUGCAGCUUAACUGUAACAGUGCCGUUGAUACUGAUAGUCUUGAGUUUGGUUAAGGUAGGCGGAAUGUGUAAUGUAGCGGUGAAAUGCUUAGAUAUUACACAGAACACCAAUUGCGUAGGCAGCUUACUGAGCCGACACUGACGCUGAGGCACGAAAGCGUGGGGAUCGAACAGGAUUAGAUACCCU